GUGCUAGGUGGUGGUGUUGUUACUGGAAUUGUCAUCUGGAAGAAGAAGUCUGGCUUUAAACCUGUUUCCCAUUCGCCAGUGAGCUCCUAUGAAGAAGAUUCAUCCUCCACCAACUCUUAAAGUGAUCUCUACUGAACUGAAAUAAUAAUUGGCCGAUUCCACAGUCCCAAACUCUGUCCCUAUUGUGCCGAAUUAAAAAAAAAAAAAAUUCAUAGUUCUUAAUAACAUGACUUUGACAUUACCUGACUUAAAUAACUUACAAAUUGGCUGAACGUUACUUAUAAAUUGGCAUUAUGUUUUUACGAUUAUAUUUAAAUUACCUACAAUUCCACUUCAGUUGUCCCCACUCAUUCAAAAAAGUCACUAUGGCUGCAUUCACAUUACAAGUCACACUGUUCAAUGUUCAUCAUUUGGUCAGAUUGGAUUUGCAUGUCUUAAUGGUUCAAUCCGGGCCCCGGAUUGUCCCUCUACAUAAUCUCUAUCAAAUAUUAUAAUAGAACAUAAAUUUGUAGAUUUAUGAUUUGCAAAUCACAAAUUACUACACCCAACGAAUUUAAUUAUAAAAUAUAUAAAAAUAUAAUUUAAAACCUAAUAUAAAAGCAGGGGGUUGGGGUCAUUUUAUGGCAUAACCCUGGCAUGAUUUGGAGUGUUCACUUUGUCCGUGUUGGCCUCAAAAUCCCAUAGUGCCUUGCACAUUAGCUUUAGUGUUUAGCUUGCAACUUAAAUGGGAAAGAAAAUUCUUUAUGCAUAUUGAUGCUUUGAGCAUAUUUUUUUUUUUGUGUGUGUGUGAAUGUAUUAUUUUUCCCUGAGUGUGAGUGUGUAGUGUUGUAAGUUUUUUUUUUUGUAUCUGUUCCAGCAAACUUUUUUUAUUAUUGUUUCCAAAUUAUUUAUUUCAGUGGACAAAAAUAUGUUCGUUAUUUUAUUUUAAGUGUAUGAUCUUUAUUUGGUUACCUUGUGGAACGGUGUUCCGGGAAAUUCAGUGUCCCGAGGUUCCCCCUGUCGCGCGCAGUGUGUGCGCGCCUAUAUAAAUCAUGACGUCACUCACUACCUAAUGCUGAAAAGGCAAACGAGGAUUUUAACAGUUUUUCUCUUAUUUUAAAGUGUUUUUACAAACUUUGUGAAUUAAACAGAUAACCUAUACAAAAUAA
Molecule: long non-coding RNA, 1148 nt
Organism: Clarias gariepinus (North African catfish)
Lineage: Eukaryota; Metazoa; Chordata; Actinopteri; Siluriformes; Clariidae
Exons: 3
Source: RefSeq, a predicted model, not a curated record